AAGAUAUUACUCGUGAAAAAUCGGCAAAAGCCGUGGAAAACGCUCCUAGUGAGGUGAUUUGGGCGCGAAGAAUUGCUGGAUUGUAGGGAUUUGGGGGUUUGCCUAUGAAAUAAUAAAAGUGGUUCCGAUGAGUAAUUUGUUCUCAUUUUUCAUCGGUCCGGGUUGGCGCCAGCAUUUCUUCGCGCCAAAUUACCAAAGCUGGACCCGUGUUAUUUAAAUCUAUAUCUGGAACACCGGACUGAUAAGUUUUUCUGCCUUUUUUUACACAUAUAUAUUAUAUUUUAUUUUAUUGAUUUUUUUAUUUUAAUUAUUGGUCGAUAUAUUUUACGAGUUGAUCAAAAGAUAAACUCAUUUGGUCAAUUCUUAUACACCUGUUUUAUUGUGUCGUAUUAUUUAUUAUUGAUUUUUCUAACUUUGUCGUUCGUCUCUUUUUAUUUUUUUUUUAUAUAUAUUGUUAAUUGUUUUUUGUUGUUGUUAUAUAUCAACGUGUACUAAUUUUUUUGUAUUAAUCAUUUUUUUUAUUUUGUUAAUUUGCCGUUGAGUAAGGUAUGAAUGUCGCGACAAUUUGAAUUUGUAAUUUUUUAUUUAAUUUGAUAAUUUUAUUUUGUAUUUUUCAUAAUUUUAUUUUAAUAUAUUUCAUGUUCGACCUUACGUUCUGAUUCAUAUUUUAUUUAAUGUGUUUAAUAAUUUCCCUUUGAGACAAAUAUUUAUA
This is a long non-coding RNA of Leptopilina boulardi, 712 nucleotides long. RefSeq lists it as uncharacterized. The transcript has 3 exons. NCBI's taxonomy places the organism in Eukaryota, Metazoa, Arthropoda, Insecta, Hymenoptera, Figitidae. The record is from RefSeq and is a predicted model, not a curated record.